Molecule: ribosomal RNA, 497 nt
Filed under: uncultured bacterium
Lineage: Bacteria
Description: partial 16S ribosomal RNA
Rfam family: Bacterial small subunit ribosomal RNA
Source: RNAcentral
GAUGAACGCUGGCGGCGUGCCUAAUACAUGCAAGUCGAGCGAACGGACGAGAAGCUUGCUUCUCUGAUGUUAGCGGCGGACGGGUGAGUAACACGUGGAUAACCUACCUAUAAGACUGGGAUAACUUCGGGAAACCGGAGCUAAUACCGGAUGAUAUUUUGAACCGCAUGGUUCAAAAGUGAAAGACGGUCUUGCUGUCACUUAUAGAUGGAUCCGCGCUGCAUUAGCUAGUUGGUAAGGUAACGGCUUACCAAGGCAACGAUGCAUAGCCGACCUGAGAGGGUGAUCGGCCACACUGGAACUGAGACACGGUCCAGACUCCUACGGGAGGCAGCAGUAGGGAAUCCUCCGCAAUGGGCGAAAGCCUGACGGAGCAACGCCGCGUGAGUGAUGAAGGUCUUCGGAUCGUAAAACUCUGUUAUUAGGGAAGAACAUAUGUGUAAGUAACUGUGCACAUCUUGACGGUACCUAAUCUGAAAGCCACGGCUAGCUACGUG